Molecule: long non-coding RNA, 1081 nt
Filed under: Heterocephalus glaber (naked mole-rat)
Lineage: Eukaryota; Metazoa; Chordata; Mammalia; Rodentia; Bathyergidae
Description: lncRNA (ENSHGLG00100047119.1)
Source: RNAcentral
CAAUGGGGGAGAGGGUGCUAAUUAUCAUAGAAGAAAAAUGGGAAAGUUUGUGGGAUUUCAAAACUGUCAUCAUAAACCCAAAGCUACUUGAAACCACUGAAGGGUUUUAUGCAAGUGAAAGCAAAGUAAGCUUCAUUUUUUUGUAAAGAUCACACUGGCUGUGGUGAGGCUGGAAUGGAGGUGCAAAGGUGGAAGCGGAAAGGGUUUUAGAUUCCAGCAAAUUGCAACUUCUCCCAGCUACCUAAGAGUCCCCCGGAAAUGCUUGAUAAACCACAGCAGGAAAUCUUUAAAUGCAGGAAAGUCUAAGAAUCCUCCAAAGACGGGGAGGAAACAGGAAAACGGGGCUCAGUGGGUGGUGGACACCCAGCUUGAGGGAAAGCUCUCCCAACCCCAGGUACCAAGGGACUUGGGUUAUGGUGGUCACAAGGGGAAGGGGCCAGGCCUGCGCUGAGCAGGGACUGGACAAUGUGCCCGUCACUGUGGAGAGUGCGUAAGGGUGCGGCACGCCUGGGCCUGCCCUCUGGUGGAGAGAAGGCUUUUGUAAACCUAGGUAUUUUCUUGGGUCUGGGUUAAAAUCCAUUCCACUGCUGGGUCUUGAAAUCCCAAGCUGAUAACUCUGAAAACACUUCCAGGCUUGUCCUACCUCAAGGUCCCUAGAAACACUGCCACAGCUUCUCAGGGGAGACCCCAGGAUGCACAGCACCCCUUGGAAAAGCCCCAGAGUCACAGCUCUUCUCCCUGUGAGGACCGUGUGGAGAUUCCAGUGCCCACCGCCACCAGGCCUUCCCAAGCUGUCCAACCUGUCCCAUCCUGGGGUCCUCUUCCUCCGAGUGCACAGUGUCUCGUGAUGCGGACCUCUGCCUCCCACUGCCCAGUUUGGGGUCCCAGGGGCAGUUCCCCUGCGGGUGUCGGGGUCCUGCAGGCUGUCCGGCCCCCGGCACAAUGCCCCUCCUAGUUGGGCGGGCACAGGGCAGGCAGGAGCCGCCUCGGGAAGGCUUUAUUCCCAGCUGUGGCAGCAGAUGCAAUGCAGGGGAGCCAGAGCACCUCCCGCUGCACACCAGGCCCCAGGUGUGACUCUGAC